GUGUUUGUAACUCAAUAGGAUAGAGUAUCAGACUUCGAAUCUGAAAGUUGAAAGUUCGAAUCUUUCCAAACACA
This 74-nucleotide transfer RNA is filed under the name Mesostigma viride. RNAcentral's name for it is "tRNA-Arg". It matches the Rfam family "tRNA". From Rfam's summary of the family: Transfer RNA (tRNA) molecules are approximately 80 nucleotides in length. The record is from RNAcentral. Lineage: Eukaryota; Viridiplantae; Streptophyta; Mesostigmatophyceae; Mesostigmatales; Mesostigmataceae.